This is a long non-coding RNA of Chinchilla lanigera (long-tailed chinchilla), 492 nucleotides long. RefSeq lists it as uncharacterized. The transcript is spliced from 4 exons. The record is from RefSeq and is a predicted model, not a curated record. Lineage: Eukaryota; Metazoa; Chordata; Mammalia; Rodentia; Chinchillidae.
ACGAUCGUUGCGCAGGCGCAGAUCCGGAAGCCAGCCAACGUUGGGCAGAGCCGAACGCAGGCGGGCAGCUGGCAACAAAUUCGGCGUCGGAAAUUCAGCCGCCACACGUCCAGACACUGCCUAGGAAGAGAGCCCGCGCUCGGCUUCAGGGCAGAUCUGAGCCUCAGGCUGAAUGAGGUCGAGUUGAAGAGAGAUCUAAUCCUCUGAAGAGGAGAAACAAAGCAGAGUAUGCAUGAAUGAUAUAGGAGAUUAUCUGAAGGAAAAAUGGAAGAAAACCAAGUCAUCACCCCCAUUCAUCUCUGAGAAAAGAAAACUCGCCCCUUUCCCUGUCUUCAAGAAAAUAAGCAAUGGGUAAGCAAUAAAAUCACAAUUGGAGCCAUCUGGUGGUACUCAGUGUUUGUCUCUGCUCUUGUAACAACCUGAAACAAGUCACAGAACUUAUGCAAUGACGGGUCACUUGGACACGUGUCAUUUUCCCCCCAGUACUGAGGA